UGUACUCCUGAUGGUUAUAAAGGAUUUGAAGGCAAAUGUAGGAUAUCCGUUUAAUACUUUGCUGAACAUUCAAUAGUGAGAUUUGUGUUCUGGAAACUGCAGUAAGCACAUCAUGCAUUUAUGAAUUUGGUAGGAUUCCAAUGAUUAAUGGUUAUUCAUCUUAGACAGUUAAAAUUAAUUAGUUUAGUAAUCCAAACAGUUCUAGAACUGAUUCUUCUUUCUAGUGUAUUUUAGUAAACCACAUAUAUUGCUUGACUUGCACCUCUUUCCAGUCUCCUGUUCAGUAAAUAUUCUGAUGUAAAGUCAGCCAAGUCAAUCAGCCAAAAGUCAUUUUUUUUCAGAUAACAACAUUUAGGCCAAGAUGCAUCCUUAUCAAAUAAAGAAAAUGGAAUGGCAAGAUUUGAUGCUCUGAAAGCUAAUCUUUUCAGAACUACAAGAUAAAAAUAACAAAGCACGAGUGCUGGUAGUAGAUGGAUUUGUGCUCACCUCUCUAGUUUACAAGUAAGCCGAUCGGAACUCCAAAAUUCAACAUAGAAUUACCAAGAAAUCCCUAUAUACAAAAGAUUAAAUAGAUUAGCACAAGAAUUAUCUCACCUAUGAUAAGGAAAAUUUAAGGGUUUGCAGUUUUCCCUUCAGAAAAAAAUCAAAUGUUUGUUUUCCAUCAAAGUUUGUUGAUAUUAGACAUGCAGAUCAACAAUCAUAACUGAAAUAUUUAGUAGAAUGGUGUUUUUUUUUUUUAUUCAUUUGAUGAGGAGCAGAAAGGUGUUAUUAAAAAUCAAACAGUCUCAUUCUUUUUGGGCAAAAUUUCUCUGAUUUCCUACUCACAUCUGGAGUUAAAAUGGAUAACCUAGUGAUGAGUCAUUUUCUUUCAGUUUACAUGAGAAAUGUGCACCAUUUCUACAGUCCAGACAUAAUUAUGCUUUGUCAAUGCUUGCACUUUACUUUACCUAAUGUAUUGGCUUCAAGAGCACUUAGAGCCCGUUUGGAUUGACUUAAAAAAAGUAACUUUUUAAAGUGCUGGACUUAUUUUUAAAAUAAGUAGUUAUGUGUUUGGAUAAAAGUGCUGCAGUUGAAAAAAAAAGUUGUUGAUGUGUUUGGCAAAUAAGUGCUGGUAAACACUUUUUUUAUCAAAAUGUCUGAAAUACCCUUUAAGCUGUUAACAUGAUAAAAAGUUGAUUAAUUUAAGGUUUUUAUACUUUAAAAAAAAAUUAAAACAAAAUUAAUUUAUGUUUUACAUCCAUAAGUAAUAAUAUUUUUCUAUCAUUCACAUAUUUCUUUACCACCUUAUAAGAGGAAUAUAAAUUCAUAUUUCAGAAAUAAUAAUAAUAAUAAAAAAAAAUAAUAAUAAUAGUAAUAGUAAUAAUAAUAAACUAAUAAAAUAAUAAUAAUAAUAAUAAUAAUAAAAUAAUAAAAUAAUAAAAUAAUAAUAAUAAUAAUAAUAAUAAUAAUAAUAAUAAUAAUAAUAAUAAUAAUAAUAAUAAUAAUAAUAAUAAUAAUAGUAAUAGUAAUAAUAAUAAUAAUAAUAAAAUAAUAAAAUAAUAAUAGUAAUAGUAAUAGUAAUAAUAAUAAUAAUAUUUAUAAUAAUAAUAAUAAUAAACAUAAUAAUAAAAUAAUAAUAAUAAUAAUAAUAAUAAUUCAAUAUGGCCAAUUUGAAAAUUGUAUAAAAGAAUUAAGGGCAAAAAGGUAAUAUACUUGGUCGACAUAAAAGAGCUUUUAAGUUUUAAAAAAAAAAGCUCCCCUCCCCUGGCUUUUAGCUUUUGGCUUAAAAUAAGUCAUUUUUGACUUAAAAUAAGUCACUUUGAUAAUUGCCAAACACUCUAAUAAGUCAAAAACUGACUUUUAAGCCAGUUUGACCAGCUUAAAAGCCCAUCCAAACAGGCUCUUAGUUGUUUCCCUUAAGUUAGGUGUUUUGAUCAUAAGUCAUCUAAGACACUCAGCCAAAUGUCUUCAUAAAAAAAUACUUACAGGCAAAAUGCUUUCUAUCCACGCUCAUGGACCACCAAAUGACACGAGUCACCUAAAGCUGAAUAAGGUAAUUCUAGAUGUAUAAGCUAAAAAUUAAUACAUCAUGAAUACCUGCAACAGUACAGAGUUGGGCUUGCAUGUUCAGUUUACUGAUAAAAUCUGAAACUCCAAAGUUCAGAGUCAAGCUAUCCAGGGAUCCCUGAAUAUAAAAUGGUAAAUGGUAAGUUCAAGUAUCUCAACUGUCAUAAGCCAUCAUUUCAGAUAUGCUUUCAAUUUUUGCCAUCUGUUUCCAAUUUGAUUAAGCAGGCAAAACUUAAAAGUUAAGUUAGUAAUCGGUUUUCAUUUAUAUCAAAGAUUCAUCAAGUUUGGAUUAUAACAUCAAUUAGGGAUCAAGGGUGUUUUGCCUUGAUCACUGACGAUCAAUGGCUAAGAGGUCUUUCACAAAAUUGAGGUAAAAGUUCUCUGGAAUUUCACGUUAAAAUGAGGAGUUACAUGGGUAUCCAUAGUUCAGAUACCCAUUUUCAUUUCAAUUUAGUGAACUAAAGAUGCAUAAACAUCAUUGUACCAUGCAGUGUUAUCAAAGACGAAAAGCGCAAAAAACUCUAAGGUCCGUGGGGCUUUAAGCGCAAAUAAAGCUUGGGCUUUAAUGAAAAAUGGCGCAAAGGGAGAAAAAAAAUUACAAAUAUAUAUGUUUGGUCCAAGACUAAUAAUUAUAUGAAUGACAAAUAUAUGACCAAAGAAAUUGAAUUUUUUUAAUGAUAAAGUGAAAUAUCAAUUGUUUAGUGUCACUUCUUCAUAAGAGGCACAUUGGUAAGGAAAAAUUUGCGUUAGAACCUUGAUGACAACACUGAAGUGAGGCAAAGCGCUCAAUACGUUUUGAGCCUCGCUUUAGGGCUUAAGCGCGCCUUUGAUAACACUGGUACCAUGUUGUUUUGUACCAAUUUACAUACCAUGAGCUACGUUGUUUCAUGAAAACAAGUGAAAAGAAUGUAAGAUAAGGAAGGUAGCUAAAAGAAAAUUGAUAAUAAGAGAACCCAACGAGAAAGCCCGUGUUUAACUACAAAUGUGAUAUUUAUAAUUUUAGUGGAAGCAUUCUUUACUUCAGCUGUGACUUAACUCAAACUAUGAUGUUCAAAUAUGCGAUACUGAUACAGCUAAUGACAGAAUCCUGGCCUCAUGUCCAUUGACAGUUCUCAAUCAGUAGACAGUUUCAAUGGUUUUUUUAUUUCAGAUGCUGAAAAGAUUGAGAAUGAUAGAAAAGGACUGUAAAGAGACAAGCACCAGUAAUAAUGAAAGAAGGUACAAUCUUUAAGCACGAGGGCAGCACAAAUCAGAGUAAGCUGCAAAGGCGUCAUAUUUUAAGCAACCCCUCUGAGUAUCUAAUUAUCUCCCAUAUACAAUGGGAGCCAGCAAAAGUACCAAAUGAAGUUGUUAUUUUUAAAAAGGAAGCUACCAAAGAAUAUUAAAGUAAGCAAAUGCAGAUCAACUGGUAUGAAAUACGGAGCAUCUGAAGUCUAAGUUGAAGAUAAGCGGUACACAUUUACAAUCAAAUAACUCAAAAGGAGAAAUUGCCUCAACAAAACAGGUUUUAUUUCCAGAAAGAUCCCUUAAGGCUCAAAGAGGACAACUAGGGAUACUUAAUGCAAAUUGUAGGCAUGGAAAACCUAUUAUCCUAUCCUAAACCAAGCAUUUCUACAAACAAUUAAAACAAGUCCUAGACAAAGUUUGCAAAGAAAUUUUCAUUAAGUUUCAUCAGACAUGGCACAUGUUAGUUUAGAUGGGUCCCUUCCAACUCACAAUCAAGAAUAAAUGAAACAAAAUCGCAUAAAUCAAACCACUACCAAGUAGUGAGCAAAGAGUAAACAAAUGACCAAGUGUCACUAAUAAGACCAUUUCUCUCAACGUUACCCACUUUUCCAGUAAAAAAUCAAGGGAGGUAGUUCACAAAUUUGACAAAGACUCACAUGAAAGAGUCUAAUUAGUGGUACCAGAAAAACAAGUUAGCCAAAGAGAGCAAUCCAACAAAACCAUAUUUUUAUUCCCUAUUAGCUACUAACUACCCCUAAACACACCCAGUUCAAAAAAUCACUUUUUUGGAAAAGAACUGUGGCUUAAAGAAAAAAACAAGGAGCUUAUUGAAAUCAAAUGACAAGGUAAACCUAGGAAAGUAUAAAACAAGUAACAUAAUGCAUGCAGCAAGCACUCAUACAAAGGAAAAAAGUCAAAACCUUAUAAACUAAAGAGAAAACACACAGUAUUCCAAAAUAUUAUCUCAUUAAUCACUUGGAGAACUAUUGAUAAUUUAACAUGUCAGACUAUGAAUCACAGGAAAAAUAAGAGACUAUCCAUUUUAAAGGUUCACAAUUCAGCCAUGGGAUGAAUAUCAAAGUUACAGUGAGGGAACAGGCUUCACAUGUAGAUUUUGAUACCACAUGAAAGAAUCUAAACUUUUAAUUGAAAUGGUAAAAUCAAGGAAAAAACCAAGUACUUUUUAGUACAUUAAUUUUACUAAGGUUGCAUUUUUAUUUCCUAGAAGUUGCACAUAUAUGCGCUCACAGGCUAAUUGUAACAGCCUGAUUAACCGUUGCCAUGAGGCAGGUGCAAACUCGGCCCAUUGGCCUCCUUACAGACAAUUCUCCACCCUGCCCACCACCAACUGUAAAGAUAAACAUUUGACCUUGCUUUGAAGCUAAUUAAGAGAAUCCAAGGACACAAUUCAAAAUGCUAAAGGCAAUAAGUGAAGUAGUUUAAGAUGUUAAUAACCUUUUCGGAUGCUCUUAUGUGAAUGCCAUAUAUCUCCGGCACAAACUAUGCUUUCUUUCAUCUAACAAGUGGUUAGGAAAAUAUGAGAUUUUGAUUUAAUCAAAACUUAGAAGUCCCCAUCAGAAACUGAAUUCUACAUUAGCUAGUGAAACUCUUAGUAAUUGCAACACUACAAAACCCCUGACUAGGAUAUAUAUUUCAAUGUGUCUACUUGAAUGCAAAACCUAACUAGUAAAUAUGUGAUGUAAGCAAGCGCAGAUAACUACUUUUUCAAUCUAAAAGUUGACAUAAUAAGUAGAAUACCUUGCAGAACCCCGACCUCUGAUGAAAAAAAAAAACAUUUAAUUGUAAACUUUGCAAAGAGUAUGACCACAAAGAAAUGAACAGAAAUAUUAGGAAAAAUAUCAAUAUAUGCUACUCACUCCAUCCCAAUUUUUAAUUUUUUUAGUUACUGUGGUGUCCGGGCUAGUUUUUGCGCACCUCGACUAAUUCCACGCAAACUCCCACCAGCAAUAGGAACCAUGUUACUUUGUCCACCCCAUCCCAAUUUUACUCUUCAUGUUUUGGGAACAUUUAAUACAAUUCCACCAAUAAUAUCAUUCUAUACAACUUUCACAACUUUAAGAAGUUUGAUUUCACGAAUCUAUCAAAUUCGAUCUUUUAAAUGGUUUUCAAUCAAAUUGAUUUUUUCAAGUAGUACUUAGAUAUACUUUUUCCACGAGGAGGCAAGUCAAUUUGACACCUUUUUUUUUAUGACAAGUGAAAUCCGCAAUCGCUACCCUUUGGUUGUACAUGAACAAAAACCCCUAUUCCUAUGCAAUAUCUCGCAAAAGAGACGUAACCCACACUAGGCAAGCCUGGUGCGACGAGCUCGACCCAGAAGGCAAACCCUUGCUUUUGCUGGCAAGAGAUUUCGGACUUGAGGCCUACAACAUGAAAGUCUCAAGCCCAAACCCACUAGGUCACUCUGAAGGGUCAAAUUGACACCUUAAACUCCAUAUCCUACAAAAUGAACAGGAGGAAUUACUAGAAUACUACUUUUACCCCCGAAGAAUAAGAGUAGUAAGUAAAAUACAUAUACAGCAAAGUAACACUCAAACACGAACAAUUAGGUCACACUUCGAAACAAAUUAACAAACAAUUUGGCUGUAAUAGAGUAUGAAUUCGAAAAACUUAUUGAAAUAUUAAGGAAGAUGAACAAACCUGAAGUGAAUAAUCACAGCCCUAUUGGGACCUCGGAGUCGGAGAAUGUGCUUAGCAAUAAGC
Molecule: long non-coding RNA, 5994 nt
Filed under: Solanum tuberosum (potato)
Lineage: Eukaryota; Viridiplantae; Streptophyta; Magnoliopsida; Solanales; Solanaceae
Description: long non-coding RNA (STUB_LNC002408)
Source: RNAcentral